GACAGAGGGUGCGAACGUUGUUCGGAAUUAUUGGGCGUAAAGAGCUCGUAGGCGGUUUGUUGCGUCGGCUGUGAAAUUCCGAGGCUCAACCUCGGGUCUGCAGUCGAUACGAGCAAACUAGAGUGUUGCAGGGGAGACUGGAAUUCCUGGUGUAGCGGUGAAAUGCGCAGAUAUCAGGAGGAACACCGGUGGCGAAGGCGGGUCUCUGGGCAACAACUGACGCUGAGGAGCGAAAGCGUGGGGAGCGAACAGG
RNAcentral lists this ribosomal RNA (253 nucleotides) under uncultured bacterium. Its description in RNAcentral is "partial 16S ribosomal RNA". It matches the Rfam family "Bacterial small subunit ribosomal RNA", at positions 524 to 776 of the family's 1533-position model. The record is from RNAcentral.